This 449-nucleotide ribosomal RNA is filed under the name uncultured bacterium. Its description in RNAcentral is "partial 16S ribosomal RNA". It matches the Rfam family "Bacterial small subunit ribosomal RNA", at positions 29 to 523 of the family's 1533-position model. The record is from RNAcentral.
AGCGAACGCUGGCGGCAGGCCUAACACAUGCAAGUCGAGCGCCGUAGCAAUACGGAGCGGCAGACGGGAGAGUAACACGUGGGAACGUACCCUUUGGUUCGGAACAACCCAGGGAAACUUGGGCUAAUACCGAAUAAGCCCUCACGGGGAAAGAUUUAUCGCCGAAGGAUCGGCCCGCGUCUGAUUAGCUAGUUGGUGGGGUAAUGGCCCACCAAGGCGACGAUCAGUAGGUGGUCUGAGAGGAUGAUCAGCCUCACUGGGACUGAGACACGGCCCAGACUCCUACGGGAGGCAGCAGUGGGGAAUAUUGGACAAUGGGAGCAAGCCUGAUCCAGCCAUGCCGCGUGGGUGAUGAAGGCCCUAGGGUUGUAAAGCCCUUUCGGCGGGGAAGAUAAUGACGGUACCCGCAGAAGAAGCCCCGGCUAACUUCGUGCCAGCCGCCGCCGUAA